UAGCAUGUGGCAGUGGAGCACAGUGGUC
RNAcentral lists this non-coding RNA (28 nucleotides) under Rattus norvegicus (Norway rat). The record is from RNAcentral. Lineage: Eukaryota; Metazoa; Chordata; Mammalia; Rodentia; Muridae.